Molecule: transfer RNA, 73 nt
Filed under: Streptococcus mutans
Lineage: Bacteria; Bacillati; Bacillota; Bacilli; Lactobacillales; Streptococcaceae
Also listed under: 1 other name
Description: tRNA-Lys
Rfam family: tRNA
About the family: Transfer RNA (tRNA) molecules are approximately 80 nucleotides in length.
Source: RNAcentral
GCCUCCUUAGCUCAGCUGGUAGAGCAGUGGACUCUUAAUCCAUGGGUCGCAGGUUCGAGCCCUGCAGGGGGCA